This 261-nucleotide ribosomal RNA is filed under the name uncultured archaeon. RNAcentral's name for it is "partial 16S ribosomal RNA". It matches the Rfam family "Archaeal small subunit ribosomal RNA", at positions 748 to 1006 of the family's 1478-position model. The record is from RNAcentral.
AGGGUGUAAACGCUGCAGACUUGGUGUUGGAGGCCCUUUGGGGGGCAUUCAGUGCCGGAGAGAAGUUGUUAAGUCUGCUACUUGGGGAGUACGUCCGCAAGGAUGAAACUUAAAGGAAUUGGCGGGGGAGCACCACAACGGGUGGAGCCUGCGGUUUAAUUGGACUCAACGCCGGGAAGCUCACCGGAUAAGACAGCGGAAUGAUUGCCGGGCUGAAGACUCUGCAUGACUAGCUGAGAGGAGGUGCAUGGCGAGACGUCU